GACGAACGCUGGCGGCGUGCUUAACACAUGCAAGUCGAACGGACAGGCCAUGCUUUUGCGGGGUGCUCGAGUGGCGCACGGGUGAGUAACACGCGAGUAACCUGCCCCUGACUUUGGGAUAACUCCAGGAGACUGGGGCUAUAACAGCGUAGAAGAUAUUGCUCCACGUGGGUGGUUGGUAAGUUUCGGCGUUGGGGGCGGUUAUAGAUGGAUCCGCGCCUCAUCAGCUUGUUGGUCAGGUAACGGCUUACCAAGGCUACGACGGGUAGGCGGCCUGAGAGGGUGACCGGCCACAUUGGGACUGAGAGACGGCCCAGACGCCUACGGGAGGCAGCAGGCGGGAAUAUUGCGCAAUGGGCGGAAGCCUGAGGCAGCAACGCCGCGUGCGUGAUGACGGCCUUCGGGUUGUAAACCGCUUUCGCCGGUGACGAAGCGUGAGUGACGGUAAUGGGUAAAGAAGCACCGGCUAACUACGUG
This 477-nucleotide ribosomal RNA is filed under the name uncultured bacterium. RNAcentral describes it as "partial 16S ribosomal RNA". It matches the Rfam family "Bacterial small subunit ribosomal RNA", at positions 28 to 507 of the family's 1533-position model. The record is from RNAcentral.